RNAcentral lists this ribosomal RNA (497 nucleotides) under uncultured bacterium. RNAcentral describes it as "partial 16S ribosomal RNA". It matches the Rfam family "Bacterial small subunit ribosomal RNA", at positions 28 to 507 of the family's 1533-position model. The record is from RNAcentral.
GAUGAACGCUGGCGGCGUGCCUAAUACAUGCAAGUCGAGCGAACGGACGAUAAGCUUGCUUCUCUGAUGUUAGCGGCGGACUGGUUAGUAACACGUGGAUAACCUACCUAUAUUACUUGGAUAACUUCGGGAAACCGGAGCUAAUACCGGAUAAUAUUUUGAACCGCAUGGUUCAAAAGUGAAAGACGGUCUUGCUGUCACUUAUAGAUGGAUCCGCGCUGCAUUAGCUAGUUGGUAAGGUAACGGCUUACCAAGGCAACGAUGCAUAGCCGACCUGAGAGGGUGAUCGGCCAAACUGGAACUGAGACACGGUACAGACUCCUAAGGGAGGCAGCAGUAGGGAAUCUUCCGCAAUGGGCGAAAGCCUGACGGAGCAACGCCGCGUGAGUGAUGAAGGUCUUCGGAUCGUAAAACUCUGUUAUUAGGGAAGAACAUAUGUGUAAGUAACUGUGCACAUCUUGACGGUACCUAAUCAGAAAGCCACGGCUAACUACGUG